This 879-nucleotide ribosomal RNA is filed under the name uncultured bacterium. Its description in RNAcentral is "bacterial SSU rRNA". It matches the Rfam family "Bacterial small subunit ribosomal RNA", at positions 8 to 916 of the family's 1533-position model. The record is from RNAcentral.
AGAGUUUGAUCCUGGCUCAGGAUGAACGCUGGCGGCGUGCCUAACACAUGCAAGUCGAGCGAUUUACUUCGGUAAAGAGCGGCGGACGGGUGAGUAACGCGUGGGUAACCUGCCCUAUACACACGGAUAACAUACCGAAAGGUAUGCUAAUACGAGAUAAUAUAAGAGAUUCACAUGGAUUUCUUAUCAAAGCUGAGGCGGUAUAGGAUGGACCCGCGUCUGAUUAGCUAGUUGGUAAGGUAACGGCUUACCAAGGCGACGAUCAGUAGCCGACCUGAGAGGGUGAUCGGCCACAUUGGAACUGAGACACGGUCCAAACUCCUACGGGAGGCAGCAGUGGGGAAUAUUGCACAAUGGGCGAAAGCCUGAUGCAGCAACGCCGCGUGAGUGAUGAAGGCCUUCGGGUCGUAAAACUCUGUCCUCAGGGAAGAUAAUGACGGUACUUGAGGAGGAAGCCCCGGCUAACUACGUGCCAGCAGCCGCGGUAAUACGUAGGGGGCUAGCGUUAUCCGGAUUUACUGGGCGUAAAGGGUGCGUAGGUGGUCUCUUAAGUCAGGAGUGAAAGGCUACGGCUUAACCGUAGUAAGCUCUUGAAACUGGGAGACUUGAGUGCAGGAGAGGAAAGUGGAAUUCCUAGUGUAGCGGUGAAAUGCGUAGAUAUUAGGAGGAACACCAGUAGCGAAGGCGGCUUUCUGGACUGUAACUGACACUGAGGCACGAAAGCGUGGGGAGCAAACAGGAUUAGAUACCCUGGUAGUCCACGCCGUAAACGAUGAGUACUAGGUGUCGGGGGUUACCCCCCUCGGUGCCGCAGCUAACGCAUUAAGUACUCCGCCUGGGGAGUACGCUCGCAAGAGUGAAACUCAAAGGAAUUGACGG